GCCCGGGUGGUGGAAUGGCAUACACAAGGGACUUAAAAUCCCUCGUCGCAAGACAUGCGAGUUCGACCCUCGCCCCGGGCA
This 81-nucleotide transfer RNA is filed under the name bacterium. Its description in RNAcentral is "tRNA-Leu". It matches the Rfam family "tRNA". Rfam says of the family: Transfer RNA (tRNA) molecules are approximately 80 nucleotides in length. Their secondary structure includes four short double-helical elements and three loops (D, anti-codon, and T loops). Further hydrogen bonds mediate the characteristic L-shaped molecular structure. tRNAs have two regions of fundamental functional importance: the anti-codon, which is responsible for specific mRNA codon recognition, and the 3' end, to which the tRNAs corresponding amino acid is attached (by aminoacyl-tRNA synthetases). tRNAs cope with the degeneracy of the genetic code in two manners: having more than one tRNA (with a specific anti-codon) for a particular amino acid; and 'wobble' base-pairing, i.e. permitting non-standard base-pairing at the 3rd anti-codon position. The record is from RNAcentral.